RNAcentral lists this ribosomal RNA (447 nucleotides) under uncultured bacterium. Its description in RNAcentral is "partial 16S ribosomal RNA". It matches the Rfam family "Bacterial small subunit ribosomal RNA", at positions 29 to 523 of the family's 1533-position model. The record is from RNAcentral.
AACGAACGCUGGCGGCAGGCUUAACACAUGCAAGUCGAGCGCCCCGCAAGGGGAGCGGCAGACGGGUGAGUAACGCGUGGGAAUCUACCCAUCUCUACGGAAUAACGCAUGGAAACGUGUGCUAAUACCGUAUACGUCCUUCGGGAGAAAGACUUAUCGGAGAUGGAUGAGCCCGCGUUGGAUUAGCUAGUUGGUGGGGUAAAGGCCUACCAAGGCGACGAUCCAUAGCUGGUCUGAGAGGAUGAUCAGCCACACUGGGACUGAGACACGGCCCAGACUCCUACGGGAGGCAGCAGUGGGGAAUAUUGGACAAUGGGCGCAAGCCUGAUCCAGCCAUGCCGCGUGAGUGAUGAAGGCCCUAGGGUUGUAAAGCUCUUUCACCGGUGAAGAUAAUGACGGUAACCGGAGAAGAAGCCCCGGCUAACUUCGUGCCAGCCGCCGCAGUAA